GACGGAAGGUGCAAGCGUUGCUCGGAAUCACUGGGCGUAAAGGGUGCGUAGGCGGCUUCUUAAGUCCGGUGUGAAAGCCCAGGGCUCAGCCCUGGAAGUGCACUAGAAACUGGGAAGCUUGAGUACCGGAGAGGAUCGUGGAAUUCUCGGUGUAGAGGUGAAAUUCGUAGAUAUCGAGAGGAACACCGGUGGCGAAGGCGGCGAUCUGGACGAUGACUGACGCUGAGACGCGAAAGCGUGGGGAGCAAACAGG
RNAcentral lists this ribosomal RNA (253 nucleotides) under uncultured bacterium. RNAcentral's name for it is "partial 16S ribosomal RNA". It matches the Rfam family "Bacterial small subunit ribosomal RNA", at positions 524 to 776 of the family's 1533-position model. The record is from RNAcentral.